UUGACCUCGGAUCAGGUAGGGAUACCCGCUGAACUUAAGCAUAUCAAUAAGCGGAGGAAAAGAAACCAACAGGGAUUGCUCUAGUAACGGCGAGUGAAGCAGCAAUAGCUCAAAUUUGAAAUCUGGCGUCUUCGACGUCCGAGUUGUAAUUUGUAGAGGAUGCUUCUGAGUGGCCACCGACCUAAGUUCCUUGGAACAGGACGUCAUAGAGGGUGAGAAUCCCGUAUGCGGUCGGAAAGGCGCUCUAUACGUAGCUCCUUCGACGAGUCGAGUUGUUUGGGAAUGCAGCUCUAAAUGGGAGGUAAAUUUCUUCUAAAGCUAAAUAUUGGCCAGAGACCGAUAGCGCACAAGUAGAGUGAUCGAAAGAUGAAAAGCACUUUGGAAAGAGAGUUAAAAAGCACGUGAAAUUGUUAAAAGGGAAGGGAUUGCAACCAGACUUGCUCGCGGUGUUCCGCCGGUCUUCUGACCGGUCUACUCGCCGCGUUGCAGGCCAGCAUCGUCUGGUGCCGCUGGAUAAGACUUGAGGAAUGUAGCUCCCUCGGGAGUGUUAUAGCCUCUUGUGAUGCAGCGAGCGCCGGGCGAGGUCCGCGCUUCGGCUAGGAUGCUGGCGUAAUGGUCGUAAUCCGCCCGUCUUGAAACACGGACCAAGGAGUCUAACAUCUAUGCGAGUGUUCGGGUGUCAAACCCCUACGCGUAAUGAAAGUGAACGGAGGUGAGAACCGCAAGGUGCAUCAUCGACCGAUCCUGAUGUCUUCGGAUGGAUUUGAGUAAGAGCAUAGCUGUUGGGACCCGAAAGAUGGUGAACUAUGCCUGAAUAGGGUGAAGCCAGAGGAAACUCUGGUGGAGGCUCGCAGCGGUUCUGACGUGCAAAUCGAUCGUCAAAUUUGGGUAUAGGGGCGAAAGACUAAUC
Molecule: ribosomal RNA, 910 nt
Filed under: Cladosporium colocasiae
Lineage: Eukaryota; Fungi; Ascomycota; Dothideomycetes; Cladosporiales; Cladosporiaceae
Description: eukaryotic LSU rRNA
Rfam family: Eukaryotic large subunit ribosomal RNA
Source: RNAcentral